Molecule: ribosomal RNA, 34 nt
Filed under: Trypanosoma cruzi
Lineage: Eukaryota; Euglenozoa; Kinetoplastea; Trypanosomatida; Trypanosomatidae
Source: RNAcentral
GGGUACGACCAUACUUGGCCGAGUGCACCACAUC